ACCUGAAACCGUGUACGUACAAGCAGUGGGAGCCUCUUAAUGGGGUGACUGCGUACCUUUUGUAUAAUGGGUCAGCGACUUAUAUUCUGUAGCAAGGUUAACCGAAUAGGGGAGCCGAAGGGAAACCGAGUCUUAACUGGGCGUUAAGUUGCAGGGUAUAGACCCGAAACCCGGUGAUCUAGCCAUGGGCAGGUUGAAGGUUGGGUAACACUAACUGGAGGACCGAACCGACUAAUGUUGAAAAAUUAGCGGAUGACUUGUGGCUGGGGGUGAAAGGCCAAUCAAACCGGGAGAUAGCUGGUUCUCCCCGAAAGCUAUUUAGGUAGCGCCUCGUGAAUUCAUCUCCGGGGGUAGAGCACUGUUUCGGCAAGGGGGUCAUCCCGACUUACCAACCCGAUGCAAACUGCGAAUACCGGAGAAUGUUAUCACGGGAGACACACGGCGGGUGCUAACGUCCGUCGUGAAGAGGGAAACAACCCAGACCGCCAGCUAAGGUCCCAAAGUCAUGGUUAAGUGGGAAACGAUGUGGGAAGGCCCAGACAGCCAGGAUGUUGGCUUAGAAGCAGCCAUCAUUUAAAGAAAGCGUAAUAGCUCACUGGUCGAGUCGGCCUGCGCGGAAGAUGUAACGGGGCUAAACCAUGCACCGAAGCUGCGGCAGCGACACUAUGUGUUGUUGGGUAGGGGAGCGUUCUGUAAGCCUGUGAAGGUGUACUGUGAGGU
RNAcentral lists this ribosomal RNA (720 nucleotides) under Escherichia coli. RNAcentral's name for it is "partial 23S ribosomal RNA". It matches the Rfam family "Bacterial large subunit ribosomal RNA", at positions 548 to 1269 of the family's 2925-position model. The record is from RNAcentral. Lineage: Bacteria; Pseudomonadati; Pseudomonadota; Gammaproteobacteria; Enterobacterales; Enterobacteriaceae.